Abortiporus biennis is the source of this 108-nucleotide non-coding RNA. The record is from the annotation of a GenBank genome assembly. NCBI's taxonomy places the organism in Eukaryota, Fungi, Basidiomycota, Agaricomycetes, Polyporales, Podoscyphaceae.
GCUUGGAUGGCUCAGUUGGUUAGAGCGCAGGUCUCAUAGCUUUACGUUAUGAUCAAAGUGAUUCUUUGAGUAAUCCUGAGGUCGUGAGUUCGACCCUCACUCCGAGCA